AGCUUGGCACAUUUUGGUCAUUUGGUGUUUCAGUAUUCUAUUUUCCUCAACCACAGUAGACUCUUGUUGAACCCUCUGACCCUUAGUCUCUUGAGCACUUGUAACAGCUUCGAUGUUAGUUGUCAUUUUUCCUUGGAUUUUGUGUUGUCCGCUUACCCCAAACCGACCACCUCAACUUUCCUCACAAUUCAAAAUAAGACAUGUUAGAAUGGACUCAGUUAGUCCUUAUUAUUAACAACAUUUUUUUUCACUUUUGUUUUUCUUCUUUUUUUUUCAUUUUUUUUUCAAUGAUUGAUCGAACCUGAUGUGGGUUGCCUACGUAUCAUGUGGAAACAUGAAUCAGAUCUUGCAUAGUUCGGGAAGAUUGGGAAUAAAGUAAAUAAACUAACUUUUUUUUAGAUUUUGAAUUUUUUAUUUUAUUUUUCAAAAGAAAGACUUAUAAAAAAGAAAGAGAAUAUUUUUGGAUUUUGAUUUUUCUUCAAAAUUUUUGCAAAGAAAGACUUCUAAAAAAAGAGAUAUUUUUUUUUGAAUAUCAACCUUUUUUUUGGAAUUUCGAAAGAAAAACUUCUAAAGAAGAAAGAAAAUAUUUUUGAAUUUUUGGACUUUUAUUUGGAAUUUAUGAAAGAAAUACUUUUAAAGAAAAAAAAAUUAUUUUUGAAUUUUGAAUUGUCUUUUCAAUUUUCGAAAGAAGAAUGAAAAUAUUUUUGGAUUUUGAGAGAGAAUAAAAGAAAAUAUUUUUGUAUUUUAAAAUAUUUGGGUCUAAAAAACAGACUUUCUAAAGAAGCAAGUAAUGAAAAAUACUUUUGGAUUUUUUUUUAAAUUGUGGGCCGGAACCGAUGAGAUUUGCCUACGUAUCUCACAUCCGAUGAGAAUCAGACCUGCUAGUUCGCCAUUUUGACGGAACGGAGGAAACAUGAAUUUUGAAAACAUAUGCUUAUUUCGGCAGAGUUUCGGAAUUUUCCAAAUAAUUACCUCUCACUCUUUUUUUCUUUUUUCCUUUUUUUGAUUUUCUUUCCCUAUUAUAGCAGCCAGUCAACAUGCAAGCAGAAAUAAACAGAUACGCAAGUAGCACGUAAGAUGCAUCUGUAUGGUCUUUUAAUUUGGAUACACCUGUCCUAGAUGAACUUAACCCCUGUGUUGAGCCCCCAAAAUCAAAUGCACAUGAUGCAAACAAAAUAUUCCUACUAGGGAUCCGGCAUGAGGCUAUGUUAUUUUAAGUUUAAAACCUAGGUGUAUUGUUCUAGACCUGGCUUACCCGAGCGGACAGCUCGAGCCGAGGGGGGGCAGCGUACCGGGAAUACAGAAGUUUCACCGGCUUUGCAACUUGUCCGAACCCCGUUCUAAAAUUGGGAUAUGACUCUAAUAGAAAAGAAGUCACACGAAGUGCACACUUCCCAGAUGAUUUAGAAGACUCAGAGAGAAGAGGGUUUCGUAACAAUUUAUAUAAGUUCAAAUAAUAUCAAAGAGGUAAAAGCGGCAUUUAGCACAGUAGGCUCAAUCAUGUAAAACUCAGAUAAUAGAUAAAGCCAAAUAUAACAGUUAUUCUAAGUUCGAAUUCUUGAACCAUGAACCAAAAGUUCUGGGUUAUAGAUCCCCAACAGAAUCGCCAGAGCUGUCACACCUCCUUUUUACACCCCGAGGGGUAUAUAGGAAUUUUUCCAAUUUAAGUGACAUUAUUCGAAAUGGAAUUAUUUAUUUAAUUCAGAGUCGCCACUUGGGAUAAUUUAUUUGGUGUCCCAAGCCACCGGAUUAUUAUAAAAUCCCAAGUCGAGGAAAUUUGACUUUAUUUAAAAGUUUGCGAACCAAAAAUUCUAGAUAAGGAAUUCUGUUAACCCGAAAGAAGGUGUUAGGCAUUCCCGGGUUCCGUGGUUUUAGCACGGUCGCUUAAACUAUUAAUAUUGGCCUAUUAUUUGAUUUACUACAUAUUUUAACCUAUUGUGCCUUUUAGCUUUUGAAACCGCUUUUAAUUAUUUAAAGAAUUGACUCAAGAUUAUUUAAAACAAGUCGCAAGCCACGCUACAUGAAAUGCACUCGUGGUUCACGACACGUUCUAUUUAACCUUGUUGGAAAUCAAGACCGGGUCACAUGAAAUGCACCCCCGAAUUUUGGGAAUUAUGUAUGUCACUGGAACCGUACCCAUAGUCACGAUGAUUUGAUUAAUUAAAAGCGAACCUAAAACAUUACAAAGCAUUCAUGAAUUAGGUCCAAAGGUAUGGAAUAUGUUAGUGGAAUAAACGAAACUAGUUAGCUAAGGAAAAGCUGAGUAGCUUGUGGCAUUAUUAACGCGUGGGUGUAAUAUUCAACCGUAUAUUAUUUUGCCCAAUUUAACUCCUUUGCCAACCGAGUUAAAAUAUACACCCAUUAUUCUCUUUCGCCCAAAUACUGCUUUGCUACUAUUUGAUACAAGUAACAGUAAGCCAAAGAAAUAUCAAUUAAUAAAGGCAUCAAACAUUUAGAAUCAUCAAUUUGCUCAGAAAACAUAAUUCAACGAAAUAAUAGCAGCAUUCAUAUAGUUAAAAGCAUGAAAUUAACCAAGGAGAAAAAAAAACGGUAAAGAAAGAAAGAUUGCACCUGAAGGAUCGAAGGCUUUUAUUUGUUUAAAGGAAACCUCCAUCCAUGUACACAAUAACUAUGAUGAAUUGGCAGGUGAACUCAAACAGCAUCUAUGACCACGCCGGAGAAACUCGACCGAAAACUGUUAGAGUCGCAAACAGAAGCUCGUCGGCUUGACUCGAAUCUAUGGUGGCGUUUUGGACGAUUUCGAAGCUGCUUUGGGGUGAUUUUCAGCUACAACUAACAACAUUUUUGGGAUGAAUAUGAUGAUGUUUGGACAAAUUUGAAGGCAGCCAUGGGACUGAUUUUUGGAGCUACUAUUACUGAUUUUUCAUGGUUAAACAGGAGGUUUAGAACUAGUUUAGGAAAAGUUUUGGGUGAAUUUUCAGGUGGAAAAGGGCUGUUGAAGGGUGGUUUUGGAGCUCAUUUUCGCUGGUUACAGGUGCUAGAUUUUUGCUGCUGUUUUGGUGUCCUUUUAGCUAGUUUUCAUGGGUAUUUUGGAGUAGUGUUUAUGGAUGAUGGGGGGCUGGUUUUCAUGGUUGUUUGAUAGUGUUUUUGGCGAGAAAGAGGAGGGGUUUUGGUCAGCGAUUUUGAGGAAAAAGAAACCAACGAGAGGUCCGCUCGGUUUUUGUUAAGGAGCAGCCAUGUUUAGGUUGUUCAAUCUUAGAAAAAAUGGAUGCUUCCUUGUUUGUUGGAGAAGACAAUCCAACGUUGGGUUUUGAAGAGGAGGGGUGUUUUUUUUUUACUGAUUUUUUAUGGGUUUUUUUUUUGGAGAAGAUGAAGGGAAUGGAAAGGCUCAGCUGCUACUAAGAUACCCUCUAAGCUCUCCAAAAUGAAGAAGAUGAGUGUCUGUGUUUUCUAAAAUUUUGCCCAGCCCCUCUCGUUCCCAGAUCUGUCCGUCCCCUCCCCAGAUUUUUUUUUGGCAUUUUUUCC
RNAcentral lists this long non-coding RNA (3486 nucleotides) under Nicotiana tabacum (common tobacco). RNAcentral's name for it is "long non-coding RNA (NTAB_LNC002358)". Lineage: Eukaryota; Viridiplantae; Streptophyta; Magnoliopsida; Solanales; Solanaceae. The record is from RNAcentral.